This 196-nucleotide unclassified non-coding RNA is filed under the name Metapochonia suchlasporia. RNAcentral describes it as "partial internal transcribed spacer 2". Lineage: Eukaryota; Fungi; Ascomycota; Sordariomycetes; Hypocreales; Clavicipitaceae. The record is from RNAcentral. RNAcentral also lists the same sequence under 3 other names.
CAACCCUCAAGCCCCAGCGGCCUGGUGUUGGGGACCGGCGACCUCGCCCGAGCCCGCCCUCCGGGGCGCGUGCCCGGUGCGUCCGCCGCCCCCGAAAUGAAUUGGCGGCCUCGUCGCGGCCUCCUCUGCGUAGUAGCACAACCUCGCAAGCGGGAGCGCGACGCGGCCACUGCCGUAAAACGCCCAACUUUUUUAG